Non-coding RNA from Acanthosepion pharaonis, 112 nucleotides. The record is from the annotation of a GenBank genome assembly. Lineage: Eukaryota; Metazoa; Mollusca; Cephalopoda; Sepiida; Sepiidae.
UAUGGCCACAUCAUGUUGAAACACUAGUUCCUGUACAAUCAUUGAAGUUAAGCAUGUUGAGCCUGGCCAGUACCUAAAUGGAUGACCACUUGAGAAUACCAGGUGCUGUAAG